Molecule: non-coding RNA, 262 nt
Organism: Pelobates cultripes (western spadefoot toad)
Lineage: Eukaryota; Metazoa; Chordata; Amphibia; Anura; Pelobatidae
Source: the annotation of a GenBank genome assembly
UGUCGACAUUAUAGUUGCGCAGGCACUUUGUUGACUCUAGAGAACCUCGGGCCAAUUGCACGACCCCAUGACGGCGACUUUGCAUUUUGAUGUCUUGCCUUUCAACUUUCGAUGCCACUUUCUGCCCCUACCAUGGUGACCACGGGUAACGGGGAAUCAGUGUUGGAUUCCGGAGAGGGAACCUGAGAAAUGGGUACCACAUCCAAGGAAGGCAGCAAGCACGCAAAUUACCUACUCUCGACGCGGGGAUGUAGUGACGACA